This 555-nucleotide ribosomal RNA is filed under the name Methylobacterium sp. 5.7. RNAcentral's name for it is "bacterial SSU rRNA". It matches the Rfam family "Bacterial small subunit ribosomal RNA", at positions 109 to 698 of the family's 1533-position model. The record is from RNAcentral. Lineage: Bacteria; Pseudomonadati; Pseudomonadota; Alphaproteobacteria; Hyphomicrobiales; Methylobacteriaceae.
AGUAACACGUGGGAACGUGCCCUUCGGUUCGGAAUAACUCAGGGGAAACUUGAGCUAAUACCGGAUACGCCCUUAUGGGGAAAGGUUUACUGCCGAAGGAUCGGCCCGCGUCUGAUUAGCUUGUUGGUGGGGUAACGGCCUACCAAGGCGACGAUCAGUAGCUGGUCUGAGAGGAUGAUCAGCCACACUGGGACUGAGACACGGCCCAGACUCCUACGGGAGGCAGCAGUGGGGAAUAUUGGACAAUGGGCGCAAGCCUGAUCCAGCCAUGCCGCGUGAGUGAUGAAGGCCUUAGGGUUGUAAAGCUCUUUUGUCCGGGACGAUAAUGACGGUACCGGAAGAAUAAGCCCCGGCUAACUUCGUGCCAGCAGCCGCGGUAAUACGAAGGGGGCUAGCGUUGCUCGGAAUCACUGGGCGUAAAGGGCGCGUAGGCGGCCGAUUAAGUCGGGGGUGAAAGCCUGUGGCUCAACCACAGAAUUGCCUUCGAUACUGGUUGGCUUGAGACCGGAAGAGGACAGCGGAACUGCGAGUGUAGAGGUGAAAUUCGUAGAUAUU